AGAUCACAUGCAAUACUUAGGGUAUUGCAUGGUGUGCAAUUACUUUAAUCCUAGCCAUUCAAUUGAUCUAAUGCUCAAAAGUUGGACAGCUCAUUUGGACACGUCAGCAAUCCGUGUGACUCUCAUCUCUCUCUCUCUCUCUCUCUCUCUCUCUCUCUCAUGCCUCAAAAUAAGCCACUAGUGAUGCUCAGGUUACUUCUCCAUCGAAGUGCACCAAUAGUAUUUCAUCUACCCACCCAAAAAUAAAUGUAGUUAGAUCUGUCUUCAGGGAGAUUCAUCAAGUUGAUAAAUGUUCUAGGCUACUCUUCAAAUGGGCUGAUUCCAUCAACUUUCUGCUCACAGAAGAGAUGGGAAUCGAGGCAAGGAACAAAGGACAAGAGAUCUCUCAAGUUUACCACUCCAUUAAGGAGGGAUUAGAUUUUUGACUCCUUGGAAUGACAGGGAGGUUUUUGCACGGUUUAACCCAAACCAUCACAAUGGACUACCACUGUAGUUAGUUAAUAACUUUUUUUCAAUUUCAAAAUUUUAAUUGACCAAUUCAAAAUGCAAUUUUGGUUCUGAGGAAUGUAAGAAUCAGUUGAUGGCUUUAUUUUGAUGAAUAGAUGUGAUGUAUACAACUCUGUUUUGUGAAUAGCAUGUAGUGAAGGAGUUCUGUUAUUA
Long non-coding RNA from Quercus lobata, 660 nucleotides. RefSeq lists it as uncharacterized. The record is from RefSeq and is a predicted model, not a curated record. Lineage: Eukaryota; Viridiplantae; Streptophyta; Magnoliopsida; Fagales; Fagaceae. The transcript has 2 exons.